GAUGAACGCUGGCGGCGUGCCUAAUACAUGCAAGUCGAGCGAACGGACGAGAAGCUUGCUUUUCUGAUGUUAGCGGCGGACGGGUGAGUAACACGUGGAUAACCUACCUAUAAGACUGGGAUAACUUCGGGAAACCGGAGCUAAUACCGGAUAAUAUUUUGAACCGCAUGGUUCAAAAGUGAAAGACGGUCUUGCUGUCACUUAUAGAUGGAUCCGCGCUGCAUUAGCUAGUUGGUAAGGUAACGGCUUACCAAGGCAACGAUGCAUAGCCGACCUGAGAGGGUGAUCGGCCACACUGGAACUGAGACAGGGUCCAGACUCCUACGGGAGGCAGCAGUAGGGAAUCUUCCGCAAUGGGCGAAAGCCUGACGGAGCAACGCCGCGUGAGUGAUGAAGGUCUUCGGAUCGUAAAACUCUGUUAUUAGGGAAGAACAUAUGUGUAAGUAACUGUGCACAUCUUGACGGUACCUAAUCAGAAAGCCACGGCUAACUACGUG
This 497-nucleotide ribosomal RNA is filed under the name uncultured bacterium. Its description in RNAcentral is "partial 16S ribosomal RNA". It matches the Rfam family "Bacterial small subunit ribosomal RNA", at positions 28 to 507 of the family's 1533-position model. The record is from RNAcentral.